Molecule: ribosomal RNA, 386 nt
Filed under: uncultured bacterium
Lineage: Bacteria
Description: bacterial SSU rRNA
Rfam family: Bacterial small subunit ribosomal RNA
Source: RNAcentral
CAGCAGUGAGGAAGGUGGAUAUGUUAAUAGCAUAUCAUUUGACGUUAGCUGCAGAAGAAGCACCGGCUAACUCCGUGCCAGCAGCCGCGGUAAGUACGGGAGGGGUGGACGAGGUACGUUAAGUCGGUAAUUACGUGGGACGUAAAGCGCAUGCAGGUGGUUUAGUUAAGUCAGAUGUAGAAACGGCCCGGGGCUACAACCGUACGGUAAUUGCUAUUUAGAAACGUGGACAAACUAGAGUACUGUAGAGGGGGUAGAAUUUCAGGUGUAGCGGUGAAAUGCGUAGAGAUCUGAAGGAAUACCGGUGGCGAAGGCGGCCCCCUGGACAGAUACUGACACUCAGAUGCGAAAGCGUGGGGAGCAAACAGGAUUAGAUACCCUGGUAG